GUGCCAGCCGCCGCGGUAAUACCGGCAGCUCAAGUGAUGUCCCAUAUUAUUGGGCCUAAAGCGUCCGUAGCUGGCCGACCAAGUCUCCCGGGAAAUCCACCCGCCCAACGGGUGGGCGUCCGGUAGAAACUGGCCGGCUUGGAACCGGAAGGCUCAGAGAGUACGUCCGGGGUAGGAGUGAAAUCCUAUAAUCCUGGACGGACCACCAAUGGGGAAACCACGUCGAGAGACCGGACCCGACAGUGAGGGACGAAAGCCAGGGUCUCGAACCGGAUUAGAUACCCUGGUAGUCC
RNAcentral lists this ribosomal RNA (293 nucleotides) under uncultured bacterium. RNAcentral describes it as "partial 16S ribosomal RNA". It matches the Rfam family "Archaeal small subunit ribosomal RNA", at positions 455 to 747 of the family's 1478-position model. The record is from RNAcentral.